This 607-nucleotide unclassified non-coding RNA is filed under the name Hevea brasiliensis (rubber tree). The record is from RNAcentral. Lineage: Eukaryota; Viridiplantae; Streptophyta; Magnoliopsida; Malpighiales; Euphorbiaceae.
AGAAAAAUUAAAUUCGAAAUGACAGAGUUAUAAUCUGAAUCAGAAGUGAUGAUUUGUAUGUGUACUGUUCAGUAUGUUUGAUUGCGAGAGCUAAUUUCGGUUAUAAUUGUAUAAAAUGUACAAAUGCAAAUACAUAUGUAGCUUCUGGUCUAGUAUUUGAUCACGUGAUGGCGAAGCCAGAGUUCAUACAUGACCAUAUGAAAAGCAUCAUGUCUUAUAGGAGGUGCAUUCCACUGGAAGUGCUUCUUAAUCUUUACUAAAUUGUCAUGCAAGGUGACAAAUUCUUCUUGUGUGAUGUUCUUGAGAAUUUGCUUUAGGUCAUAUACAUCCUUCUCCCUCAGUACGACCGCAAACUUACGCCAAUCAAUAAUGUCAUUAAAUGGCAAAUCAUAGUAAUCAGAAAGUAUCACAGGAACACAUCCAUAAUGUAUUGAGUCUGUUAUACGAGCGCUGUUAACCUGGGAACCACCUGGACAUAUGCAGAACUUUGUCCUGUAAAAUCUCUUUUGAUAAACAAGAGGUCCUGUAGCCCUGUUUAUCCUAUUGUUGGAAAUAUCCAAUUCAGUGUCAUUUUCCCACUGACGUGCCAGGAUAACCCUGAUUUUAG